This 253-nucleotide ribosomal RNA is filed under the name uncultured bacterium. RNAcentral describes it as "partial 16S ribosomal RNA". It matches the Rfam family "Bacterial small subunit ribosomal RNA", at positions 524 to 776 of the family's 1533-position model. The record is from RNAcentral.
UACGUAGGGUGCAAGCGUUGUCCGGAAUUAUUGGGCGUAAAGAGCUCGUAGGCGGUUUGUCACGUCUGCUGUGAAAACUGGAGGCUCAACCUCCAGCUUGCAGUGGGUACGGGCAGACUAGAGUGCGGUAGGGGAGAUUGGAAUUCCGGGUGUAGCGGUGGAAUGCGUAGAGAUCCGGAAGAACACCGGUGGCGAAGGCGGCCCGCUGGGCUGUGGCUGACGCUGAGACGCGACAGCGUGGGGAGCAAACAGG